AUACUUACUGGCAGGGGAGAUACCAUGAUCACGAUGGUGGUUUUUCCAGGGCGAGGCUUACCCAUUGAACUUCAGAUGUGCUGACCCCUGCAAUUUCCCCAAAUGAGGGAAACUUGACUGCAUAAUUUGUGAUAGCAGGGGGAAAAAAAAAGUUGAAGUGUUUCAGAACUCACUUU
This 176-nucleotide small nuclear RNA is filed under the name Camelus dromedarius (Arabian camel). RNAcentral describes it as "U1 spliceosomal RNA (ENSCDRG00005019243.1)". It matches the Rfam family "U1 spliceosomal RNA". From Rfam's summary of the family: U1 is a small nuclear RNA (snRNA) component of the spliceosome (involved in pre-mRNA splicing). The record is from Rfam by way of RNAcentral. Lineage: Eukaryota; Metazoa; Chordata; Mammalia; Artiodactyla; Camelidae.